RNAcentral lists this ribosomal RNA (563 nucleotides) under uncultured bacterium. RNAcentral's name for it is "partial 16S ribosomal RNA". It matches the Rfam family "Bacterial small subunit ribosomal RNA", at positions 355 to 907 of the family's 1533-position model. The record is from RNAcentral.
UGGGGAAUAUUGCACAAUGGGCGCAAGCCUGAUGCAGCCAUGCCGCGUGUGUGAAGAAGGCCUUCGGGUUGUAAAGCACUUUCAGCGAGGAGGAAGGUGGUGAGCUUAAUACGCUCAUCAAUUGACGUUACUCGCAGAAGAAGCACCGGCUAACUCCGUGCCAGCAGCCGCGGUAAUACGGAGGGUGCAAGCGUUAAUCGGAAUUACUGGGCGUAAAGCGCACGCAGGCGGUUUGUUAAGUCAGAUGUGAAAUCCCCGGGCUCAACCUGGGAACUGCAUUUGAAACUGGCAAGCUAGAGUCUCGUAGAGGGGGGUAGAAUUCCAGGUGUAGCGGUGAAAUGCGUAGAGAUCUGGAGGAAUACCGGUGGCGAAGGCGGCCCCCUGGACGAAGACUGACGCUCAGGUGCGAAAGCGUGGGGCAGCAAACAGGAUUAGAUACCCUGGUAGUCCAGCGCUGUAAACGAUGUCGAUUUUGGAGGUUGUGCCCUUGAGGCGUGGCUUCCGGAGCUAACGCGUUAAAUCGACCGCCUGGGGAGUACGGCCGCAAGGUUAAAACUCAAAGG